CCAUCCGCGCUGCUCCUCCCGCGACGAGGCCGCCGCCAGCCUCCUUCCCCACCAACGGCCACCCCUACUCUUGCCUCUUCCUCCUCCCAUUCGCCCCCCCAUCAGAAUCCUCCCCCGGAACCCUAGCCAGCCGCACGCAACCCAUGGCGCCGCCUAGCUCGCCACCCCUGGCCGUCGGACCGUCGCGAGGCAAGCGCACGUCCUCCGCCCAGGCCGCGCCCGAGGCCGACCUGGUGGCCACAGUCACCACGCGCCCGCGCAAGGGUACCACAUCCAGGAAGAAGAAGCUUGUGCUCAAGGCGGCGGCGGGCAAGAAGCAGGCACCACAUCCGGGAAGAAGUUUGUGCUCAAGGCGGCGGCGGGCAAGAAGCAGCAGAAUUGGUGAGACUUGAGAGGCUAGGGUUUGUCUUGUUCCAGUGAACUGCAGGCUUGAUGUGCAUAUAUGUGACUAUUUUCUUAUGAUGAACUUGAAGAUGGUGGUUAAGGUAUUCAUGGUGGAGGGAAAGGUUGAUGUUGGUCUUGGUCCUAUCUAGGCGCAUGGGAGUAAGCUCGAGCUGCAGACGAGCUCAGACUCCAUAGGAGGAGCAUGUUCCGCUGCGCCUCUCCCACCUCCUCGGCGCACAGGGGGAUGGCCAGCGCCGCGCAGCAGCAGGGUGUUGAUCACAAGAUAGUAAAUGAUUUCUCUAUUAGUAGAGGUCUGAAGGUUCGAGAAGGGACGAAAGAUGAAGAAUUUGCCUGAAGAAAAUAUUGAACAAAAAGCUCCAGAUGGCUUCCUAGGGGUGAUGUGCUUCAGUUUGAGAUUGGGAUGUUGGCUUUCUCUAACCCGCCUUCCUUGAGUCUGAAGUUGGGUUCACAAGCAAGCAGGCCGCAGAGGACAUGGCACUGGCCAUGUUCAACCGUGCCCUGAAGCUUUCUGGAGCAGGUAUGUGCCUCUGUGUGUGUCUUCUCUAACUUCAUCUCGCUGGAUGUAUGGAUCAUUCUGCACGUUGGGCUUGUUGCUGGCUGCUAGCCUGGCUUGUAAGAGGAUGCUCCCCUGCUCUUGAGUCCAAGAUACUGAGGGAAAGUACAUAUCCAGAGGCACCAAUUGGGAGAGGUACAACAUAUGCAUUUCAAAUGCAUUUCAAAGAGAACUGGAAGAGCUAGCACCAAAGAGCCCCAACUCACCUCCACGAUCAAGUUCUACAUGCAAUUCACGGAUAGUGGUUGUCGGCACAUCUUUUAACCAAGUCACCUCCAUUGAUCCUUUUGUUGACAAGCAGCUAGACCCAAGACCCAAGGUACCAAACAAAAUAAGGAAGGCAUCAAAACUCCUAGGAAUCUUGCUAGAUAUGAGCAUCUCUUUUGCAUGACGAAGGAAAUGAGCGGCUGGCUAGAUCUAAACAUAUAUUAAAUCCUCAUUGGAUUACAAAUUGUGGAGGGACCGGUCAACAUUUUUAGUCUUUUACUGCAUGGCUGCGAAGUAUACACAGAUUUAGGAAAACUACCUGCGGUAAUUCCUGCUCUGGCAUGCAUUUCUCUUAAUU
Triticum urartu is the source of this 1523-nucleotide non-coding RNA. The record is from RefSeq and is a predicted model, not a curated record. Lineage: Eukaryota; Viridiplantae; Streptophyta; Magnoliopsida; Poales; Poaceae.